CCUACGGGUGGCAGCAGUGGGGAAUAUUGCGCAAUGGGCGCAAGCCUGACGCAGCGACGCCGCGUGAAGGAUGAAGGUCUUCGGGUCGUAAACCUCUUUCAGCAGGGAAGAACGGUCACUGUGCUAAUCAUCAGUGUAUUGACGGUACCUGCAAAGGUAGCACCGGCUAACUCCGUGCCAGCAGCCGCGGUAAUACGGAGGGUGCGAGCGUUGAUCGGAAUUACUGGGCGUAAAGCGCGCGUAGGCGGUAUGUCAAGUCAAUGGUGAAAGCCUAGGGCUCAACGUGAGAACUGCAUUUGAUACUGGCAGACUGGAGUGUGUGAGAGGAUAGCGGAAUUCCAGGUGUAGGGGUGAAAUGCGUAGAUAUCAGGAGGAACACCGGUGGCGAAGGCGACUAUCUGGCACACAACUGACGCUGAGGCGCGAAAGCGUGGGUAGCAAACAGGAUUAGAUACCCGGGUAGUC
RNAcentral lists this ribosomal RNA (465 nucleotides) under uncultured bacterium. RNAcentral's name for it is "partial 16S ribosomal RNA". It matches the Rfam family "Bacterial small subunit ribosomal RNA", at positions 338 to 795 of the family's 1533-position model. The record is from RNAcentral.